This 485-nucleotide ribosomal RNA is filed under the name uncultured bacterium. RNAcentral describes it as "partial 16S ribosomal RNA". It matches the Rfam family "Bacterial small subunit ribosomal RNA", at positions 28 to 523 of the family's 1533-position model. The record is from RNAcentral.
GAUGAACGCUGGCGGCGUGCUUAACACAUGCAAGUCGAACGAAGACGUCUGAGUGCUUGCACUUGGAUGGACUGAGUGGCGGACGGGUGAGUAACGCGUGGGUAACCUGCCUUAUACGGGGGGAUAACAGUUGGAAACGACUGCUAAUACCGCAUAAGGGACCAGUAUCGCAUGAUACAGUGUGAAAAACUCCGGUGGUAUAAGAUGGACCCGCGUCUGAUUAGUUAGUUGGUGAGGUAACGGCCCACCAAGGCGACGAUCAGUAGCCGGCCUGAGAGGGUGAACGGCCACAUUGGGACUGAGACACGGUCCAAACUCCUACGGGAGGCAGCAGUGGGGAAUAUUGCACAAUGGGGGAAACCCUGAUGCAGCGACGCCGCGUGAGUGAGGAAGUAUUUCGGUAUGUAAAACUCUAUCAGCAGGGAAGAUAAUGACGGUACCUGACUAAGAAGCACCGGCUAAAUACGUGCCAGCCGCCGCCGUAA